AUUUCACGUUGUAAAUUGGAUUGAUGUACUGAAUACUGAUAUCAUAUUAUUAUGUUUACCUGUCUGUGAUUGAAUGCAACCCAAUAACAUAAAUACACAAGACUUGUUUGGAGAAUACAUUGCAUAUGGUUCCAGAAUAUGCCCAAAAACAACUUCUGCAGUAUGCACUUAUCACUAAUCCAGCUUUAAAUGCAUUUAUACAUUAACAAAUCAAACUGUACGUUAAAUGAGUUUGAUUUACUGAUGAAUACUUAUGUGAUAGUAUAAAUGUAGGAAAAAUAUUUGGCGAAAAAAUCAGGCAACAAGUAUAGGCGAACAUAUACAAUUAUAAAUCAUAAUCUCUCUUCACUUAUUGGUUGAAAAUGCGAUAUUAUUG
Molecule: long non-coding RNA, 376 nt
Organism: Metopolophium dirhodum (rose-grain aphid)
Lineage: Eukaryota; Metazoa; Arthropoda; Insecta; Hemiptera; Aphididae
Exons: 3
Source: RefSeq, a predicted model, not a curated record